Molecule: ribosomal RNA, 460 nt
Filed under: uncultured bacterium
Lineage: Bacteria
Description: partial 16S ribosomal RNA
Rfam family: Bacterial small subunit ribosomal RNA
Source: RNAcentral
CCUACGGGAGGCUGCAGUGAGGAAUAUUGGUCAAUGGGCGCGAGCCUGAACCAGCCAAGUAGCGUGAAGGAUGACUGCCCUACGGGUUGUAAACUUCUUUUAUAAAGGAAUAAAGUGAGGCACGUGUGCCUUUUUGUAUGUACUUUAUGAAUAAGGAUCGGCUAACUCCGUGCCAGCAGCCGCGGUAAUACGGAGGAUCCGAGCGUUAUCCGGAUUUAUUGGGUUUAAAGGGAGCGUAGAUGGGUUGUUAAGUCAGUUGUGAAAGUUUGCGGCUCAACCGUAAAAUUGCAAUUGAUACUGGCAGUCGUUAGGACAGUUGAGGGAGGCGGAAUUCGGGGUGUAGCGGGGAAAUGCUUAGAUAUCACGAAGAACUACGAUUGCGAAGGCAGCUUACUAAACUGCCACUGACAUUGAUGCUCGAAAGUGUGGGUAUCAAACAGGAUUAGAUACCCGAGUAGUC